ACGCCGGGGAAGGUCUGCGACUGGCUCAAGAAGAGGCUCAUCGACGCGAGGACCGUGAAGGUGCUCGUGAUGG
Molecule: non-coding RNA, 73 nt
Filed under: uncultured Bolidomonas
Lineage: Eukaryota; Bolidophyceae
Source: RNAcentral